GGUUUUAACUCAGUAUCACAAGGUACUAAGGGUGUCUGACCUACUUUAGGGUUGCGUCACAAACCAUAAUUUUUGGAUCGCCUUCGCGGGGUAUCCGGGAGGGCAAA
Molecule: small RNA, 107 nt
Filed under: Oesophagostomum dentatum (nodular worm)
Lineage: Eukaryota; Metazoa; Nematoda; Chromadorea; Rhabditida; Strongylidae
Description: SL2 RNA
Rfam family: SL2 RNA
About the family: This family represents SL2 RNA. SL2 RNA is involved in trans splicing in lower eukaryotes.
Source: Rfam by way of RNAcentral